GCAGUCGAACGCGUUGGCCCAAUUGAUUGAUGGUGCUUGCACCUGAUUGAUUUUGGUCGCCAACGAGUGGCGGACGGGUGAGUAACACGUAGGUAACCUGCCCAGAAGCGGGGGACAACAUUUGGAAACAGAUGCUAAUACCGCAUAACAGCGUUGUUCGCAUGAACAACGCUUAAAAGAUGGCUUCUCGCUAUCACUUCUGGAUGGACCUGCGGUGCAUUAGCUUGUUGGUGGGGUAACGGCCUACCAAGGCGAUGAUGCAUAGCCGAGUUGAGAGACUGAUCGGCCACAAUGGGACUGAGACACGGCCCAUACUCCUACGGGAGGCAGCAGUAGGGAAUCUUCCACAAUGGGCGCAAGCCUGAUGGAGCAACACCGCGUGAGUGAAGAAGGGUUUCGGCUCGUAAAGCUCUGUUGUUAAAGAAGAACACGUAUGAGAGUAACUGUUCAUACGUUGACGGUAUUUAACCAGAAAGUCACGGCUAACUACGUGCCAGCAGCCGCGGUAAUACGUAGGUGGCAAGCGUUAUCCGGAUUUAUUGGGCGUAAAGAGAGUGCAGGCGGUUUUCUAAGUCUGAUGUGAAAGCCUUCGGCUUAACCGGAGAAGUGCAUCGGAAACUGGAUAACUUGAGUGCAGAAGAGGGUAGUGGAACUCCAUGUGUAGCGGUGGAAUGCGUAGAUAUAUGGAAGAACACCAGUGGCGAAGGCGGCUACCUGGUCUGCAACUGACGCUGAGACUCGAAAGCAUGGGUAGCGAACAGGAUUAGAUACCCUGGUAGUCCAUGCCGUAAACGAUGAGUGCUAGGUGUUGGAGGGUUUCCGCCCUUCAGUGCCGGAGCUAACGCAUUAAGCACUCCGCCUGGGGAGUACGACCGCAAGGUUGAAACUCAAAGGAAUUGACGGGGGCCCGCACAAGCGGUGGAGCAUGUGGUUUAAUUCGAAGCUACGCGAAGAACCUUACCAGGUCUUGACAUCUUGCGCCAACCCUAGAGAUAGGGGCGUUUCCUUCGGGAACGCAAUGACAGGUGGUGCAUGGUCGUCGUCAGCUCGUGUCGUGAGAUGUUGGGUUAAGUCCCGCAACGAGCGCAACCCUUGUUACUAGUUGCCAGCAUUAAGUUGGGCACUCUAGUGAGACUGCCGGUGACAAACCGGAGGAAGGUGGGGACGACGUCAGAUCAUCAUGCCCCUUAUGACCUGGGCUACACACGUGCUACAAUGGACGGUACAACGAGUCGCGAACUCGCGAGGGCAAGCAAAUCUCUUAAAACCGUUCUCAGUUCGGACUGCAGGCUGCAACUCGCCUGCACGAAGUCGGAAUCGCUAGUAAUCGCGGAUCAGCAUGCCGCGGUGAAUACGUUCCCGGGCCUUGUACACACCGCCCGUCACACCAUGAGAGUUUGUAACACCCAAAGUCGGUGGG
This 1420-nucleotide ribosomal RNA is filed under the name Limosilactobacillus fermentum. RNAcentral describes it as "bacterial SSU rRNA". It matches the Rfam family "Bacterial small subunit ribosomal RNA", at positions 57 to 1434 of the family's 1533-position model. Lineage: Bacteria; Bacillati; Bacillota; Bacilli; Lactobacillales; Lactobacillaceae. The record is from RNAcentral.